This 240-nucleotide long non-coding RNA is filed under the name Amphimedon queenslandica. RNAcentral's name for it is "uncharacterized LOC109593268". The record is from RNAcentral. Lineage: Eukaryota; Metazoa; Porifera; Demospongiae; Haplosclerida; Niphatidae.
UUUCUAUCAUCAGACUUAGUCUCAGUCCGUCAGAACCAGGACUGGUCUUUAUUCACAUAUAAGAAUCACUCCAAGGAUCAUAAGUGUGCUGUAAUAGCUGAGCAUCAUGUAACUAGCUAUUAAUAGUAACGUCUAGUAUGAAGUAAAACACUUCCAUCAUUAAAUGAUUUUUAUAUUUUAUUUAUGACAAAAAUUGAUGUUAAUUACAAUAAUUAUCUUUGUUAUUGUCGAGAUGGUUUC